GUGGGGAAUAUUGCGCAAUGGGGGGAACCCUGACGCAGCAACGCCGCGUGAAGGAAGAAGGUCUUCGGAUUGUAAACUUUUGUCUUCAGGGAAGAAGAAGUGACGGUACCUGAGGAGGAAGCUCCGGCUAACUACGUGCCAGCAGCCGCGGUAAUACGUAGGGAGCGAGCGUUGUCCGGAAUUACUGGGUGUAAAGGGUGCGUAGGCGGGUAUGCAAGUCACAUGUGAAAUACCGGGGCUCAACUCCGGGGCUGCAUGAGAAACUGUAUAUCUUGAGUGCAGAAGAGGUAAGCGGAAUUCCUAGUGUAGCGGUGAAAUGCGUAGAUAUUAGGAGGAACACCAGUGGCGAAGGCGGCUUACUGGGCUGUAACUGACGCUGAGGCACGAAAGCGUGGGGAGCAAACAGGAUUAGAAACCCGAGUAGUCC
This 427-nucleotide ribosomal RNA is filed under the name uncultured bacterium. RNAcentral's name for it is "bacterial SSU rRNA". It matches the Rfam family "Bacterial small subunit ribosomal RNA", at positions 354 to 796 of the family's 1533-position model. The record is from RNAcentral.